GGGGAGGAGCCGGCGCUGAGGUACGCGGAGUGGAGAUCGGUUCUGCGGAGAGCAGCGGAGCUGAGCUGCUGGGCGGGCCUCGCUAGGCCGGCGGAGCGGAGACGUCGGCCGAACGGCGGCGAACAUGCGCUUUUGACACACUGGAGACUUUCUUGAUCAUGGAUGGUGAAGACACACCAGAUUUUUCUAGUUUAAAAGAGGAAACUGCUUAUUGGAAGGAACUUUCCUUCAAGUAUAAACAAAGCUUCCAGGAAGCUCGGGAUGAGCUAGUUGAAUUCCAGGAAGGAAGCAGAGAAUUAGAAGCAGAGUUGGAGGCACAGUUAGUACAGGCUGAACAAAGAAAUAGAGACUUGCAAGCUGAUAACCAAAGACUGAAAUAUGAAGUGGAGUCAUUAAAGGAGAAGCUAGAACAUCAGUAUGCACAGAGCUACAAGCAGGUCUCAGUAUUAGAAGACGAUUUAAGUCAGACUCGGGCCAUUAAGGAGCAGUUGCAUAAGUAUGUGAGAGAGCUGGAGCAAGCCAAUGAUGACCUGGAGCGAGCAAAAAGGGCAACAAUAGUUUCACUGGAAGACUUUGAACAAAGGCUAAAUCAGGCCAUUGAACGAAAUGCAUUUUUAGAAAGUGAACUUGAUGAAAAGGAAUCUUUGUUGGUCUCUGUGCAGAGGUUAAAGGAUGAAGCAAGAGACUUAAGACAAGAACUAGCAGUUCGGGAAAGACAACAGGAAGUAACCAGGAAGUCAGCUCCUAGUUCUCCAACUCUAGACUGUGAAAAGAUGGAUUCUGCUGUCCAAGCGUCACUUUCUUUGCCAGCCACUCCUGUUGGCAAAGGAAUGGAAAAUAGUUUUCCUUCACCAAAAGCUAUACCAAACGGUUUUGGUACCAGUCCACUAACUCCUUCUGCUAGGAUAUCAGCACUAAACAUUGUGGGGGAUCUCUUACGGAAAGUAGGGGCUUUAGAAUUGAAAUUAGCAGCUUGCAGAAAUUUUGCAAAGGACCAAGCAUCACGAAAAUCCUAUAUUUCAGGGAAUGUUAACUGUGGGGUGAUGAAUGGCAAUGGCACAAAGUUCUCUCGAUCGGGGCAUACGUCUUUCUUUGAUAAAGGGGCAGUAAACGGCUUUGACCCAGCCCCUCCUCCUCCUGGACUGGGCUCCUCGCGCCCAUCAUCGGCCCCGGGUAUGCUGCCUCUCAGUGUGUGAGCGCCUGCCUGCAGGAGUGGUUUAAUGAGAACAUGUGGUCCGAACUUCCGGAAAAUACCGAGUCGCUUUGUCAGGUUGGAGACGAUCUGGCGCUGAUGGUCCAGGUCCACCAUCAGGUCGUCCAGCUCCUGCUGCAGGCGGUUCUUGGUCUUCUCCAGCUUGUCAUAGGCCAAGGCCUUUUCUUCCAGGCGCUGGCUCAAUGCCUCCACAUCCUUAAGAAGCUUCUUUUUGGCUUCUUCCAAGCUUUCAAUUGUUCCCAAGUCAUCAUCUACUUUCUUCUUGGUAUCAAUCAACUAGGUUUUAUGUAAAGAAAGAAAAGAUCAAUAUUGAAGAACUCAACUGGAUUUUGCACUUGAGGAAUAAAGAAAAAAACUUUUCAAUGUUU
This is an RNA transcript of Manis javanica (Malayan pangolin), 1581 nucleotides long. It is a transcript of the gene named nudE neurodevelopment protein 1 like 1, with no coding region annotated. The record is from RefSeq and is a predicted model, not a curated record. Lineage: Eukaryota; Metazoa; Chordata; Mammalia; Pholidota; Manidae.